This 369-nucleotide ribosomal RNA is filed under the name uncultured organism. Its description in RNAcentral is "bacterial SSU rRNA". It matches the Rfam family "Bacterial small subunit ribosomal RNA", at positions 526 to 896 of the family's 1533-position model. The record is from RNAcentral.
CGUAGGGUGCAAGCGUUAAUCGGAAUUACUGGGCGUAAAGCGUGCGCAGGCGGUUGUGUAAGACAGAUGUGAAAUGCCCGGGCUUAACCUGGGAACUGCAUUUGUGACUGCACGGCUAGAGUUUGGCAGAGGGGGUAGAAUUCCACGUGUAGCAGUGAAAUGCGUAGAUAUGUGGAGGAAUACCGAUGGCGAAGGCAGCCCCCUGGGUCAAGACUGACGCUCAUGCACGAAAGCGUGGGGAGCAAACAGGAUUAGAUACCCUGGUAGUCCACGCCCUAAACGAUGUCUACUAGUUGUCGGGUCUUAAUUGACUUGGUAACGCAGCUAACGCGUGAAGUAGACCGCCUGGGGAGUACGGUCGCAAGAUUA